RNAcentral lists this ribosomal RNA (324 nucleotides) under uncultured Treponema sp. RNAcentral describes it as "bacterial SSU rRNA". It matches the Rfam family "Bacterial small subunit ribosomal RNA", at positions 354 to 669 of the family's 1533-position model. Lineage: Bacteria; Pseudomonadati; Spirochaetota; Spirochaetia; Treponematales; Treponemataceae. The record is from RNAcentral.
CUAAGGAAUAUUUCCGCAAUGGAGGAAACUCUGACGGAGCAACGCCGCGUGGACGAUGAAGGCCGGAAGGUUGUAAAGUCCUUUUAUAAUUGAGGAAUAAGCGGGACAGGGAAUGGUUCCGCGGUGACUGUAGGUUAUGAAUAAGCACCGGCUAAUUACGUGCCAGCAGCCGCGGUAACACGUAAGGUGCGAGCGUUAUUCGGAAUUAUUGGGCGUAAAGGGCACGCAGGCGGCUUUGCAAGCUUGGUGUGAAAUCUCAGGGCUCAACCCUGAAACUGCAUUGAGAACUGCAUGGCUAGAGUUAGUGAGGGGAAACCGGAAUUC